CUGUACAAAAAAGCCCUGUGACACAAGUUUACCUGUAUCACAAACCUAUGCAUGUGCCCCGAUCCUAAAAGUUAAAUAAAAGAAUAAAAUAAAUCUAAAAGUCCUUGUAUCUAAAAGGAAAAUUGCUGAGUUGUAUGGUAAGCUCCUUCCUUGCCAGCUAUCUUUCUGGUGAGUGUUCAGUGAAGGCCUGUGUUAAAAAGUUGGCAGGCAGCGUAGGUUCUGCUUGUCUACAGGACCCUCAAGGUCUCUAAACUCUUAUACCAGCCUGUACUCAGCCUUUAAAAAUCCUUAAAAGUUCACCUGUUUUCUUCCUGCUGUGUCUAUGGAAGUUUCCUCUUCUCCCUGCUACUUCACCAAAGAUGAAAACAUCCAUGGUUUCCGUAUCUCCUAAGAGGACUGGGCAUUUCUCAUACUUUAAUUCAUUAUGUUACUUUAAUUCAUUAUGUUACUUUAAGACUUUAGGUAUUUGAUGGGUUUAAAAUAUUUCCUUUUAGGUUAUCUAACUUGUUUUUAUUUUGUGAGUGGCUGAUUUCAUCAAAAUUAAAACUGUGAUACAGGGAUAGUCUUCUCCAUCAACAAAUGUUUUAAUGUCAGAGGAGAUGUCUUCUGCACUUAGUUUCCCAAAAUAUUUAAGACAGUAGAGGUUGUAGCAGUUCUUGCAGUCACUAAAUCAGCAACUUCUUGCUCUAAAGAAAGGCAUUUUAUAGGAUUUUCAGCAGUUUUGUAAUGUACAUAUAUAUAUUGCUAAGGCUUUCUCAGGGUAAAUGUAAGUGUAAAAUUCUCAUCUGCAAGAGAAGAGAGUCUGUAGGUAAUGCCUAGAGCUGAAAUAUCAAGAAAUAAGAUACUUUAGCAAAGUAUAAACUUGAGAAAAGUAUUUUGAGAGAAGUCAAAUACUCAUUGAGCCAUCACUUUAAACUAGAUUGUUUCAAGAAGAAAAGGAACAGAUUUGCAAUAAAUUUCCUUUUUUCUCACUUCCUCCCACUUGUUGGGUGGAGAACUGCUAAGCAAUUAAAUCCACUUGUUGGUUUUUCAAGAUUUGAAAAACAAAUUAAACAGAAUUUUCCACAUAUCAACUCCAAUUUUUCUUUGUCUGAGUGGUCCACUCAUUUUUACUUAAAUGUGGGGAGCUCUUGCAGUUGCUGCAAUGCGUAUAGUCAUAAUCACAUAAGUUUUCUUGGAAUUUCUUUCUAAGGGAGGUUAAUACAUUUCUAACAAGUAUGCUUUCUUGGAGAUAAAUAAUAAAUAUAUAUAAGCUUGUACCUUAAAUCUUCUUUAAAAUCAUUUGACAUUAUUAAAUGCAGGUCCCAGAUAUCCUGUCCUUUUCACCUUUAAAAUAUAAAAAAAAGUGAAAAUAAACUGUAAUCUACAGAUGUGUAGAGAAACUGUGAUUUUAGGUAUCUAGAUUGUUUGGCUCACUUGAGACAAAGGCUGAUGUCUGAUUCUUACAUAAAUGCUGUUAGCUCUGCUCAGAGAAAAACUAUGCUAGUGUCCUUGUGCUUCUUCUGUAUGCAUAGACACAAAUCUCAGUGACACCAGCAUAAACAAGCUGACAGGAGGAUACAGUUUAAGAAUUUACAAGAUUUCUAACUGCCAAUAGGCCAGGCAUCCUCAGGCAAGCACCUUCUCUCCCUGCAGGCAAGGUAAGUAAGAAUCCAGCUUUUAUUUUGGGACUUAAUUGUUGAGCAGCAAAUCAGAGCAAAGGGAGCAAGUAAAGUUCAAAUGGUUGGUCAAGUUCAGGCUCUGAGAGGCUGGUGUAUGUGUCUCUAUGAGAGGAAUAUAGCCAUUCUUGGCAAUGAACAGGUCAAAUCUUCCACCAAGGGACCCUUUUCCAGAGAGCAAAUGCAUGAGCUUUCCUGAAGUUUGCUUUCUUCUCUAACUCUCCUUUACCUUUUCUCCAUUCAGUAUUAAAGCUUCUUAUCACUGACACACUCUUUCAUUAGUUAUAUUAAACUCUUCCAAAAAACUUUGCAAAACCCUAAUUCACCGUUUUAUGCAGAAUAACACUUUUCCCUUAAAUUUUCAUCCCAAUCUAAUAUUUAAUAUUAUUUUUCCACAUAUUUACUUGUUAGUAUUGCUAAUAAUAGCAGAAUGCUCUUGAUCUGCUCAAAUAAUUAAGAAUGACAGGCAGAUCAAAAGACCAAAAGAGGAUAGAGAGAGUCCAGGAAGGUAUCUAAGUAUAUAUGUAGAAAAAUAAUCACAUAAUAAAGUACAAUUUAUUUACCUUUGGCGGAAAUAAUUAACUGAGAUCCCCUGUUUCAUACCUCAAACCAAGGUAAUGAGUCAAACAAUUUCAAAACCCAAAAUGAAAUCAAAAACCUACCUGGAGGAAAAGUACAUGGAUUUAUAUUUAAAUUUAGGCUGAGAAAAACCUGUC
This 2374-nucleotide long non-coding RNA is filed under the name Pan troglodytes (chimpanzee). RNAcentral describes it as "long non-coding RNA NONPTRT013236". The record is from RNAcentral. Lineage: Eukaryota; Metazoa; Chordata; Mammalia; Primates; Hominidae.